This is a non-coding RNA of Salmonella enterica subsp. enterica serovar Kentucky, 174 nucleotides long. The record is from Rfam. NCBI's taxonomy places the organism in Bacteria, Pseudomonadati, Pseudomonadota, Gammaproteobacteria, Enterobacterales, Enterobacteriaceae.
GGGUGCUUGAGGCUGUUUGCCUGGAGCAUUCGUGAAAGGCAGACAGAGAAAAGCCCCAGUUAACAUUCGGCGUCUUGCAGGACGCUUAACAUUAAACUGAGGCCACAUCUAUGCUCUACACACGUAGAUUAGCCUCUUACGGACCGAAAGGUCAAGGAGAAGUAGGCUAUGAAG